GACGAACGCUGGCGGCGUGCUUAACACAUGCAAGUCGAACGGAAAGGCCCUGCUUUUGUGGGGUGCUCGAGUGGCGAACGGGUGAGUAACACGUGAGUAACCUGCCCUUGACUUUGGGAUAACUUCAAGAGACUGGGGCUAAUACCGGAUAGGAGCUCCUGCUGCAUGGUGGGGGUUGGAAAGUUUCGGCGGUUGGGGAUGGACUCGCGGCUUAUCAGCUUGUUGGUGGGGUAGUGGCUUACCAAGGCUUUGACGGGUAGCCGGCCUGAGAGGGUGACCGGCCACAUUGGGACUGAGAUACGGCCCAGACUCCUACGGGAGGCAGCAGUGGGGAAUAUUGCACAAUGGGCGGAAGCCUGAUGCAGCAACGCCGCGUGCGGGAUGACGGCCUUCGGGUUGUAAACCGCUUUCGCCUGUGACGAAGCGUGAGUGACGGUAAUGGGUAAGGAAGCACCGGCUAACUACGUG
This 468-nucleotide ribosomal RNA is filed under the name uncultured bacterium. RNAcentral's name for it is "partial 16S ribosomal RNA". It matches the Rfam family "Bacterial small subunit ribosomal RNA", at positions 28 to 507 of the family's 1533-position model. The record is from RNAcentral.